UACGAAGGGGGGCUAGCGUUGUUCGGAUUUACUGGGCGUAAAGCGCACGUAGGCGGACGUUAAGUCGGGGGUGAAAUCCUGGAGCUCAACUCCAGAACUGCCUUCGAUACUGGCGCUCUUGAGUCCGGAAGAGGUGAGUGGAACUCCUAGUGUAGAGGUGGAAUUCGUAGAUAUUAGGAAGAACACCAGUGGCGAAGGCGGCUCACUGGUCCGGUACUGACGCUGAGGUGCGAAAGCGUGGGGAGCAAACAGG
This 253-nucleotide ribosomal RNA is filed under the name uncultured bacterium. RNAcentral's name for it is "partial 16S ribosomal RNA". It matches the Rfam family "Bacterial small subunit ribosomal RNA", at positions 524 to 776 of the family's 1533-position model. The record is from RNAcentral.